Molecule: ribosomal RNA, 406 nt
Filed under: uncultured bacterium
Lineage: Bacteria
Description: partial 16S ribosomal RNA
Rfam family: Bacterial small subunit ribosomal RNA
Source: RNAcentral
AUUGAACGCUGGCGGCAGGCCUAACACAUGCAAGUCGAACGAGUGGCGGACGGGUGAGUAAUGCCUGGGAAACUGCCUUAUGGAGGGGGAUAACUACUGGAAACUGUAGCUAAUACCGCAUACCAUCGGAUGUGCCCAGAGGGGCUUAGCUAGUUGGUGGGGUAAUGGCUCACCAAGGCGACGAUCCCUAGCUGGUCUGAGAGGAUGACCAGCCACACGGGAACUGAGACACGGCCCAGACUCCGACGGGAGGCAGCAGUGGGGAAUAUUGCGCAAGGGGCGCAAGCCUGAUGCAGCCAUGCCGCGUGUAUGAAGAAGGCCUUCGGGUUGUAAAGUUCUUUCAGUGAGGAGGCGUUACUCGCAGAAGAAGCACCGGCUAACUCCGUGCCAGCCGCCGCGGUAAUUC